UGAACAUAUAUCUUGUUAUCAUACAAUCAUAUGGUCAAACAACACACAAACAAAAGUAUCCAUAGAAAUCCUAAGCUAAUACCCUUCGGUUAUGUGCUACAAGGUCAUACAAUUUUCAACAUGUGCAAAAGUAAAGUAAAAAUUGGUCAUAAUACAAUUUUUUUUAAAUUCUAAAUGAUUGAUAGGCUAGCAUGGAUUUGGGUGGUUCAGGUGAUCUUCGUGUAUUGGUGCGCUGUUGCAUGUGGGUGGUUUUGGCCGUUGUUAUUAUCGUAGCCAUUGUUUCUUCUGUCGCCGUCGGGCCUGUAAUUCAUGAACCCAAGACUCGUCCCUCCUUGUCAAGGGCUCAGCUCACAGAGAGGUUUCUUUUACAUCAUGGGAGCCUCAAACAGGUUCUCCGUCGUCGUCGUGUCAGCAACAGGUGGCCUGUAAACAACCGUCUCAAAGAAGAUCAACAGUACCAUUAUCAAUGCAGCGAUACAGAAAUAACGGGUUGCACUCGCAACCAAGCAACACUACACAAUAACAAACAUAGUCUGGUAUGGUUGUUUUAAAAUUUGUUAUUCAAGUAAAUCCGGGAUAUUUCCUUGCUCGGCGGUGGUAGUUUGUAGGCUCCGGGUGUGUCUGCAUCUGGUUCUGGAACUUUUUGCUUCUAUUGCAGAAAUACAAACUCAUGUACAGCAGUUAGUUGUUCAAAAACAUAUUUCCAUGAAUUCUAAUUUUAAUUGUUUUACAGUAUCUACUUUGGUUUAAUUUCACACUACAUCCCUCCUUGCGCAUUGCUUCAGCCAUGCGCAUUGAAUGACAACCAAAGCUAACCACGCCGUAGUGCAACCAAG
Molecule: long non-coding RNA, 836 nt
Organism: Gadus macrocephalus (Pacific cod)
Lineage: Eukaryota; Metazoa; Chordata; Actinopteri; Gadiformes; Gadidae
Exons: 2
Source: RefSeq, a predicted model, not a curated record